GAUGAACGCUGGCGGCGUGCCUAAUACAUGCAAGUCGAGCGAACGGACGAGAAGCUUGCUUCUCUGAUGUUAGCGGCUGACGGGUGAGUAACACGUGGAUAACCUACCUAUAAGACUGGGAUAACUUCGGGAAACCGGAGCUAAUACCGGAUAAUAUUUUGAACCGCAUGGUUCAAAAGUGAAAGACGGUCUUGCUGUCACUUAUAGAUGGAUCCGCGCUGCAUUAGCUAGUUGGUAAGGUAACAGCUUACCAAGGCAACUAUGCAUAGCCGACCUGAGGGGGUGAUCGGCCACAUGGGAACUGAGACACGGUCCAGACUCCUACGGGAGGCAGCAGUAGGGAAUCUUCCGCAAUGGGGGAAAGCCUGACGGAGGAACGCCGCGGGAGUGAUGAAGGUCUUCGGAUCGUAAAACUCUGUUAGUAGGGAAGAACAAAUGUGUAAGUAACUGUGCACAUCUUGACGGUACCUAAUCAGAAAGCCACGGCUAACUACGUG
This 497-nucleotide ribosomal RNA is filed under the name uncultured bacterium. Its description in RNAcentral is "partial 16S ribosomal RNA". It matches the Rfam family "Bacterial small subunit ribosomal RNA", at positions 28 to 507 of the family's 1533-position model. The record is from RNAcentral.